UUCUGUUAGGCUGCAUUGUCUCUGUUAUGCUGUUGUAUCACUGUUGUCUGCGCUGUUUGACUGUGCAGGCUAUCUGGCUGCUUCGCUAAUUUUGUUGCUAGACUGGAUUGUUGGCUUUGUGGCUGUCUGUUGCUGUCAUUGUCAAGCAUCCUCUUGGUUUUGGGCUGCUGGUCUCCUUUUGUAUUUGAUCUUGGGUCUGUCAUUGUUGGCUUUUGAUUGAAGAACUGUGCUAGCUUUAGAUGGUUAAUUAAUUGUAAAGAUAAUGAAUGAUUAUGUAGUGG
This 281-nucleotide long non-coding RNA is filed under the name Panax ginseng (ginseng). RNAcentral's name for it is "long non-coding RNA (PGIN_LNC002146)". The record is from RNAcentral. Lineage: Eukaryota; Viridiplantae; Streptophyta; Magnoliopsida; Apiales; Araliaceae.